RNAcentral lists this ribosomal RNA (427 nucleotides) under uncultured Lysobacteraceae bacterium. RNAcentral describes it as "bacterial SSU rRNA". It matches the Rfam family "Bacterial small subunit ribosomal RNA", at positions 355 to 774 of the family's 1533-position model. Lineage: Bacteria; Pseudomonadati; Pseudomonadota; Gammaproteobacteria; Lysobacterales; Lysobacteraceae. The record is from RNAcentral.
UGGGGAAUAUUGGACAAUGGGCGAAAGCCUGAUCCAGCCAUGCCGCGUGAGUGAAGAAGGCCUUCGGGUUGUAAAGCUCUUUUGUUGGGAAAGAAAAGCAGUCGGUUAAUACCCGGCUGUUCUGACGGUACCCAAAGAAUAAGCACCGGCUAACUUCGUGCCAGCAGCCGCGGUAAUACGAAGGGUGCAAGCGUUACUCGGAAUUACUGGGCGUAAAGCGUGCGUAGGUGGUUUGUUAAGUCUGAUGUGAAAGCCCUGGGCUCAACCUGGGAAUUGCAUUGGAUACUGGCAGGCUAGAGUGCGGUAGAGGAUGGCGGAAUUCCCGGUGUAGCAGUGAAAUGCGUAGAGAUCGGGAGGAACAUCCGUGGCGAAGGCGGCCAUCUGGACCAGCACUGACACUGAGGCACGAAAGCGUGGGGAGCAAACA